GCCUCCAUAGCUCAGUUGGUUAGAGCGACGGACUGUUAAUCCGCAGGUCCCUGGUUCGAGCCCAGGUGGGGGCGCAA
Molecule: transfer RNA, 77 nt
Filed under: Saprospirales bacterium
Lineage: Bacteria; Pseudomonadati; Bacteroidota; Saprospiria; Saprospirales
Description: tRNA-Asn
Rfam family: tRNA
About the family: Transfer RNA (tRNA) molecules are approximately 80 nucleotides in length. Their secondary structure includes four short double-helical elements and three loops (D, anti-codon, and T loops).
Source: RNAcentral